RNAcentral lists this ribosomal RNA (714 nucleotides) under Streptomyces globisporus. RNAcentral's name for it is "partial 16S ribosomal RNA". It matches the Rfam family "Bacterial small subunit ribosomal RNA", at positions 106 to 834 of the family's 1533-position model. Lineage: Bacteria; Bacillati; Actinomycetota; Actinomycetes; Kitasatosporales; Streptomycetaceae. RNAcentral also lists the same sequence under 1 other name. The record is from RNAcentral.
GUGAGUAACACGUGGGCAAUCUGCCCUGCACUCUGGGACAAGCCCUGGAAACGGGGUCUAAUACCGGAUACGACCUGCCGAGGCAUCUCGGCGGGUGGAAAGCUCCGGCGGUGCAGGAUGAGCCCGCGGCCUAUCAGCUUGUUGGUGGGGUAAUGGCCUACCAAGGCGACGACGGGUAGCCGGCCUGAGAGGGCGACCGGCCACACUGGGACUGAGACACGGCCCAGACUCCUACGGGAGGCAGCAGUGGGGAAUAUUGCACAAUGGGCGAAAGCCUGAUGCAGCGACGCCGCGUGAGGGAUGACGGCCUUCGGGUUGUAAACCUCUUUCAGCAGGGAAGAAGCGAAAGUGACGGUACCUGCAGAAGAAGCGCCGGCUAACUACGUGCCAGCAGCCGCGGUAAUACGUAGGGCGCAAGCGUUGUCCGGAAUUAUUGGGCGUAAAGAGCUCGUAGGCGGCUUGUCGCGUCGGAUGUGAAAGCCCGGGGCUUAACCCCGGGUCUGCAUUCGAUACGGGCAGGCUAGAGUUCGGUAGGGGAGAUCGGAAUUCCUGGUGUAGCGGUGAAAUGCGCAAAUAUCAGGAGGAACACCGGUGGCGAAGGCGGAUCUCUGGGCCGAUACUGACGCUGAAGAGCGAAAGCGUGGGGAGCGAACAGGAUUAGAUACCCUGGUAGUCCACGCCGUAAACGUUGGGAACUAGGUGUGGGCGACAUUC